AUUUUACAGCAGACACGAGCGAGGAAUAUAAUGUAGAUAGUACCUCGUUUUUUGAAGUGCUGCCAGCUAGCGAUGGUAAAAUCAUUUAAGUUUUUAGACUAAAGAUUGUUAUCGUAGACAUGCACUUUGGUUGACACCCACUCUUCAGUCAACGGUUGACAGAACGUUUUUAUACAUUUGCAUUUAUUUAAAUACUUUAGUAAAGUUCAAUUUAUUUUCAUUGUGAUUUUGUGGCGGUGUGGAACGAUGACAUGGUUCAAGGAGCAAUUAUUACUCGAUCAUUUCAAGAGCGUAGGAAUGGCUAUGGAUUUUCCAUGACAUAGAAACAGAGUUGCCACAGUCUCCUCGACAUAGCUCAAUUGUUCAGAGAAGAUGGGCCGGUAGAAGUUAUUUUUGGUAUACUAGCAGUGCAGCAGCUGUCUCUGUCAGUAUAGCGACUCCAUCGAUGCACGACUCUUCUGAGCUCCAUCGAGACAACAGAGUGUAGAAAACAAGUCUCAUUGACGGAUUUACUUCGAGUGUAGGAUUUUUAUCCUAUAAGUACGGUGUUUAAUUUUUUUCCUUCAAACAAGGGUGACAGAUAUAGAUUUUGCUUCGUAAUUCCGGAGUGAUACAUAUUGUAGGAUGUUUUUGGGGCGUUGUAUGUUCAAUUUCUACAUUAGAACCGGUCUGCUGGUAAAGUAUACAUGACUGACGAUAUUCAGUAGCUGUUAUUUGGAGUGUUCGAUUCGAGUUCAUUUGUGAGUGAAAUAUUUUACCAGGUGAAUAUGUUUUACAGAAUUUGAGAAGAAACGAAUAGAUUAGGUAUAUAUAGGAGGAUAUAUAUAGAAGAAUAUUCAUUGCCUUGUCCAAAUAUCGGAAGUAAAUCAAUGGCUUAGUCUAUAAACUGAACUUAUUAAACUAGACAUUGUUUCUUAGGUUUGCUAUCUAUGCAAAGGCUUCGUUAUCAAUUCAGUUGGCAGAUUUUCCUAACGUCUUUUGACUCCAGAAACAUGAAUCCGUCGAGUGAAUAAAACUAGAAGUAAUAUUCGAGUAAUAUAUCGGAGUAUAUGAGUAGGAGUAUAUGUAAAGAAGUUCUAGGAGUAAUAUAUUUGAGAUAACUCAAUUUUUCCGCAGCUUGGAUCAAGUUAGUUGAUUUAUUUACACCCAGUUCUCCAUAUUUCUUGUUCAGAAGAUCAACGAGCAGUUUUUCUCCUCAUUGGGAAUGAAAGAUCAUCCUAUUUGCAUCGCAGAGCAACUCGUUAGGACAGUUGGGAGUAGAUUAUUUGUUUCAAUCAAUCGUGACACACAAAUGACUGUACUGUACACAUUUUUUUUCUAAGAACAAUUUAAUCUAUUACACUGUUGAACUUUU
This is a long non-coding RNA of Athalia rosae (coleseed sawfly), 1354 nucleotides long. RefSeq lists it as uncharacterized. The record is from RefSeq and is a predicted model, not a curated record. The transcript is spliced from 3 exons. Lineage: Eukaryota; Metazoa; Arthropoda; Insecta; Hymenoptera; Athaliidae.